UACGUAGGGGGCAAGCGUUGUCCGGAUUUAUUGGGCGUAAAGAGCGUGUAGGCGGCCAGGUAGGUCCGCUGUGAAAACUCGAGGCUCAACCUCGAGAUGUCGGCGGAAACCAUCUGGCUAGAGUCCGGAAGAGGAGAGUGGAAUUCCUGGUGUAGCGGUGAAAUGCGCAGAUAUCAGGAAGAACACCCGUGGCGAAGGCGGUUCUCUGGGCCUUACCUGACGCUGAGGAGCGAAAGCGUGGGGAGCGAACAGG
Molecule: ribosomal RNA, 253 nt
Filed under: uncultured bacterium
Lineage: Bacteria
Description: partial 16S ribosomal RNA
Rfam family: Bacterial small subunit ribosomal RNA
Source: RNAcentral